RNAcentral lists this long non-coding RNA (566 nucleotides) under Oryza brachyantha (malo sina). RNAcentral describes it as "long non-coding RNA (OBRA_LNC001789)". Lineage: Eukaryota; Viridiplantae; Streptophyta; Magnoliopsida; Poales; Poaceae. The record is from RNAcentral.
UGCUUUAGGCUGAUCUUGAGGAAUUGAAAUCCAUUGUAGUCUUAGUUAAAACUGCACAUUAGAUACAAUAUGCAAUCGUAACCAUCCAUAUUUUUUUAAGUAAACGGCUAAGAUCUAUUGCUACAUUACACAGUAUCUUCUAUUUAUAAACAGUACCACUUAAAAUUUAGAUCCUUAAAUUUACGCAAUAGUGAUAGUGUGACUCCUUAUACUAGAGUCCCACUGAAACCGCACCGGGUUUUCAGCCCUAAGGCAUAUACAGUCCAAGCUACUCGAUGAAGGAGAUUUAACCAAAAAAAAAUGCCAUGUAGGACGAAGAUAUUUCCCCCAUAAUGCACAUGGUCCCACAAACUAUUUUUUAUUUCUUUUUCUCUCUCCGUCUCUCCAGAAAACUCCCCAUCUCCUCUCCCUCUCCCGGCUCCCGGCGGCAUGGCGACGGAGCUUGACGGCGCGGGUUGGCGGGUGUCUUUAUUUCUUUUCCUCUCUCCUGGCUCCCGGCUCCUGGCAUUGGCGGCGGCGCACGUCGGGGUGGCGCUCAGCGGCGGCGCGCAUCGGGGGGGUGGGGG